GACGAACGCUGGCGGCGUGCUUAACACAUGCAAGUCGAACGGAAAGGCCCUGCUUUUGUGGGGUGCUCAAGUGGCGAACGGGUGAGUAACACGUGAGUAACCUGCCCUUGACUUUGGGAUAACUUCAGGAAACUGGGGCUAAUACCGGAUAGGAGCUCCUGCUGCAUGGUGGGGGUUGGAAAGUUUCGGCGGUUGGGGAUGGACUCGCGGCUUAUCAGCUUGUUGGUGGGGUAGUGGCUUACCAAGGCUUUGACGGGUAGCCGGCCUGAGAGGGUGACCGGCCACAUUGGGACUGAGAUACGGCCCAGACUCCUACGGGAGGCAGCAGUGGGGAAUAUUGCACAAUGGGCGGAAGCCUGAUGCAGCAACGCCGCGUGCGGGAUGACGGCCUUCGGGUUGUAAACCGCUUUCGCCUGUGACGAAGCGUGAGUGGCGGUAAUGGGUAAAGAAGCACCGGCUAACUACGUG
This 468-nucleotide ribosomal RNA is filed under the name uncultured bacterium. Its description in RNAcentral is "partial 16S ribosomal RNA". It matches the Rfam family "Bacterial small subunit ribosomal RNA", at positions 28 to 507 of the family's 1533-position model. The record is from RNAcentral.